UUCACAAAGUUUCUUUUGAUGGACCAUCUUUUACCAUUUAUAUUUGUUUCACAGCUCACUAGACUGCCGACUGCUUAUUAAUAGUGUAUGACAAGACACUCAUACGGAAUAAAAUCCACACCUUUAAAGAGGACGAUGGAAACCUCUGAAGGUUUGUAAACGAUUUUCUCCCCCCAAUUUCCCUUUUGCAGUGGCCAGGCAAAGUCAGCUCAGCAGGCCCCAGUGAAAGGAAAGGGAAAAUCCAAGUCAUAGUCACCGUUCGUGUGCGUCCAGCUCAGCAGGAACAUCGGCUCCCUUUUAUCAGGUUCUCUUUUGCGCAGGGCCACGCGCGCAUCUCAGUCCAGGCUCGGCUCGGGCGGUCAGGGCGCUUGUCAGCAGCUCCCGGCCCUUCCGUGCCCCUCCCGCUUACCCUCCUGAGCCACUUCCGAGCUCAAGUAAAACUCAGGGCUUUAGUAGAGUGCUGGGCAGCUCAGGCGGUCCAGCAGCCGGUCUUUAGGGAAGCGCUUAUGGAAUAAGCUGGAUGGCUCCGCUGAGCGGGAAACAGAGCACCUAAAGGAACUUCUCGGGCAUUUAAAAACCCAGAAUGUGUUUAAAAAGACAAACCAAGAAGGAACUGGGUGGGGAAUGGCUGGUGGCGGGAAGGGCCUCCGGCCUGGGCCCCGGCAAAACCUCGGCCGUCUCGGCCCCUCUGGUUCCUCCUCUGGACGGAGAGGAUUGGCGAGCUGGCUCUGGCCUUCCCUUUUGGCUCUGAAUUCUUGGACUCCAAUGACUGCCAAUACUACAACUCAUAAACCAAUAAAGAAAGAAAACACAUCCUCAUCCCCAUCAGGGUGAGCCGGAAAGGGCCCUUCAGAGGAGGAAGCAGCCGGCUCCCCCUGGUUGCUAGGCAACGGGCAUGCCUUCUGCUCCUGAGGCUGCAGAGAGAGGCUGUCUGAGGACCAGGAAACAUGGCACAGCCUCGGCAGCAGCCGGGUCUUCCCAACUUCAAGCCAAUCCACCCAAUCUACUGUGUCUGCUGGCCUAGAAGAGGGGGUAUCCCUAUAGCUGUUGAACUCUGCCUGGGCAUGCAAAAGCACCCUCAGGUGGGCGCUGGGGCUCUUGUUCCUGGAUUUCCCUGGGCAGGUCCUUUCGAGAAGAGCUCCGGGAUCAGAAGAUACGAGUUCCCAUUCCCACGCUGCCUUCCUUGAGCUGUGUGAUCUUGGGGGGAUCACUUCCGCUUUCUCACAUUUGUCCAAUAAAAGGUGGGCUACUUAAGGGCCUUUCGCCCUC
RNAcentral lists this long non-coding RNA (1269 nucleotides) under Monodelphis domestica (gray short-tailed opossum). RNAcentral describes it as "lncRNA (ENSMODG00000031690.2)". Lineage: Eukaryota; Metazoa; Chordata; Mammalia; Didelphimorphia; Didelphidae. The record is from RNAcentral.